Molecule: long non-coding RNA, 214 nt
Filed under: Elaeis guineensis (African oil palm)
Lineage: Eukaryota; Viridiplantae; Streptophyta; Magnoliopsida; Arecales; Arecaceae
Description: long non-coding RNA (EGUI_LNC062612)
Source: RNAcentral
UAGACUAAAGUCCAAGUCUUUAGUAUUUAUAAUUUAUGUACUAAUAGAGGUCUGGUUUUUCUUUAUGCAGCUAUGGCCACUACCCUGUCCCUCCAGUCAUUAUUAGAUAAUGACAAGCUCAGGGGAUCUAAUUUCGAUAGCUGGUAUCGAAAAUUAAAAAUUAUCCUUGAGCAUGAGUGGAUCCUUUAUGUAGUAACGGAUCUGGCACCUGAGG